ACUUACGAUUUCUGGAAAUUAAAACAAACAAAAACAGAAAAAAAUCUAAAACUAAAAUAUCCCCACGUCAUCCCCUCCUAAGGCUUUUAGCCUUACCUUAUGUUGAUAUUAUCUUCAGCCGAUACAAGUUCACAGGUCACGUACAUCUCCUAGACGCUAGAAACUUUCCUACGACGAGAUUUUUGCCGCUAGAGCUCAUCAUGUCAGCUUCCUGGGAUAUUCUUAGCGCGUUAUUUUUUCUGGAAAUAUCCUCAGCCGGAUCUUUCAUUCCAUCGUACUUAGCUUCUGUUUUUAUCCCCUGAUAUUUCUCAUCUCGUUCUCUGUUUCUUUGCUGUGGAGCACCAACAGCCUUAUCCCCACCACCGCUCAUCUCCUAUGGCCUAAGCACGCGCGUCUUCCUGCUCUAUCUCCCCUGCGCCCAGCUGAGCUUCUCUCUUAUCCUGUUCCUGGCGUCUCCUUCAAUCGCUCCUGUCCACGCGCGCUCACCCAGCCGUCUUCUUCUAGCUGCUGGACGCGGCUCGCCCCUGGCUCGGACCUUUCUUCCACCGCGCGUCUCCUCUGCUCCUUCGGCCGACCGCGCGUCCUUCUCCCUCUGUGAGCUAGCGCGCCCAGCUCCUAUUCUCCAUGCCGAGUUUCUUCUUCUACAGCUCGCCCCAGCCCGGAGCUCUCCCUGACUGCGCGCUCUGUUUCUCCUUGCCGAGCGCCGCUCGCCCAGCCGCGAACGCCCAUGGCGCCCAGCCCAGUCGAUCUCUCUCCGCGCGCGUUCCUGUUUCUCCGUCGCCUUGUUGCUCGCCCGUCUGCGCGCCCUUCGUCCAUGGUCGCCGUCCGCCGUCGAUCCCCUCACGCAGGCCGCGAGCUGUCUGUUCGCCGUAGUCGAGCCGUUCUCAAUUGCUCGCCGUCGAAGCUCCCCUGUUGGCUGCAUCCUGCUCGCCUUUGCGUCGCGCGCAUAGCUUCUGUUGUUCUCGCGCGCGCGAAGCUCUUUGCUCGUCAACGCUCCAGCUUUAGCUCGUUGCGCGCCCUGCUCCCUGUUGUCGCGAGCUCCAGCCCGGAUUUCGCUUUGUCGCCCAGCUCGGCACUGCUCCUCCCUGUGUACAUCUCACAUGACUGUCUGCUCUAGCUCGCCGUAGUCCCUGCGCGCGUCGAGCUUUCGUGUGGAGCUCUCUGCUCACGCGCAGCUCGCUCUUUCUUUGUUGCCGCGUGCACGAAUUUUAUCUGCUCGUCACAGCAUGUCGAGUUCCCGCACCAUCAUCAUCGCUUCUGUUGCAAGCUCGUUGGCCACAGUUAUCUUGACCGCGUCAGCUCGCGACUGUGGUCGUGUUCAUCGAAUUCGCCAACACUUUGUUGCCGAUUCGACUGCCGUCGUUCCGCGCGUCAGCAAGAAAUCCCAAGAAUCGGGUGAAGACGAAGCUAGCAGCGCGAUAUUCUCCAAGCGCUCGACAAAUUGCCUGGAUCGAAAAAUCACUACCGAUCUCGCGGAUCGUGUCAGCUAUGGAAACGGAACGUUAAUCAAUCGCGCGAUGCGGAAGACAAGCCAAGUCGACCCCAAGCGCGGGCUACUCCGCAGGAUGAUGCUGAUGGACAAGCCUGAAGAUACUCGUCAAGUGGACGUCACCUAACAACACUAACCUAGUGUUACUCAGGCAAGCCCCGGUGCAUGCAACCCCUUUCCUUGUGUUUUUAAAUACUUUUCGCACACUUAAGUCUAGUGAAAUGUGCAUUAAGUUCAUAGGAGUUGCUUGGAACCCUUUGAUGCAUUACUUUCCUUGAUAUCCAUACCUUUAUAGAUACUUCUGUGAAGUAUCAAAAUAUGUUUUACAAAAAUGCUUAGCCUUGCUUAGAUCUUGUGGAUAGAGGUUGUCCUCAAUUUAACCCGGGAGGGGAUGGCUUCUACCUGCAAGAAUAUUUUCAUUUGGAGCAAUAGUGGGAUCUUACUGCAAAGCUCCCUGUGAUGCUCUUUCAUCCUAAGGAACAGACACAAUCCUAAGGAUGGGAAUACUGAAAUUGAGACUUGGGUUAGGAACAGGUGAUGUUCUACCCAGGUUGGUUAAGGAUUAACGCGUAUGUAGGCGUGCUGACCGAGGACCCUUUAACUGGUCACAUGCCUCGUCAUGGGUAAGUCUUGCCUCGGGCAGACUAAGGCCGGAAUAAGAUAACACGAAAUGGGCGUGGAGCGGUGGCGAGAGUAGCGUGUACCCUCCGUGGCAAGAGGCUGGACGGUGGUGUAUCUGUGCUCUCGGUUUGCGUGAACCUGAUCCGGUCUUAAGAACCCCGGUGGCGGGUUGACAUAUGCAAGGGUUAAGUGCUACAUAUGUCGUGUGAUUUGUGUUACUUAAUCCCGCGGUUCUGGUUGUUCGUGGUUUAUCCGAUGUCCUUGGGGCAAUCAGACGGAUCCUGUUAAGUUAUCUGGUGCACAUGCAUAGCAGUCUGAGGUCUUUGAGACAAGGACAGGUGCAUGUGGGCCCAAUAACUUGGGAGGUUCUGCCACAGCUGGUAUCGGAGCUGGAUUAAGUAUAUACAGUCACAUACAUAUUUUCAAAACAAAAGUUUUGGUUUUGAAAAACCUAUUUUCAACUAAACACAUUGUUUGGUUUUGAAAAACCGUUUUAAAAAAAACUAUAAUGCUAGCGACAUCCUCUCUUAAGCCCUAAAUUAAGGAUUAUCAGGUGGCUUAGUUGAAAACCACAACCGGGGGUAUUGCAUACAUGUGUAUUGUUAUUUUUGAGGCCAUUCAGUUUUGAAUGGAUCGACGCUCAAGGUAAGGUGAGAUGUGAGAGCAUGACCGAACAGCCGCCGGUCUAGGGGAAUGCUUAAUUGUGGCGCUUGAUUAUAUACAUGUUCUAUAUAUGUAUAUAUGAAAGCUGCGAUGUGGAGUAUUUACUUUCUGGGAAUUCAGUACCCCAUGGAUGUGUAUGGGUAUACAGACAUGGGAGUACUGAGAAGUGUAAUGUACUUGUAACGACGCACCUACGCUCAGGUAAGAAGGUGAGUUACCAUAAUGAGUUGCCCUAUGGUUAAAAGUGUGGCAACGGCGCCUAUGCGUGGCUCGGCGCUUAAUGAUGAGCUGGCCUCCAUACAACAAUAUAUGGAGUAUAAACUGUGAUAAACUGUCAUGUGUGACUUGCAUCAUUGGGAAUUGGGCUGUAAUGGAUUUUCUGCAGGUACACUAACCUCGAAAACGUAUGUGUAGUUGACGACUAGCAAAAUACCGUGAGAGUCGUAACUAUGCCACCGAGAUAGAACGCUAUUGCCACAUUUGGUUGGCAAAAUCAGUGAGGACGAAUAGGACGAGCAUGCAUCCUGAUUGUUGCAUCAUGUUUGUCGCCUAUACACCCAAAAUGCUUCUCUCAUCUUUAUUCCAGUAACCAUUGAUUGUAAAUAAUAUGGUGUCUUAAAGCUACAUGUUUAGAUAGCUUUCAGGCUAUUUUGAUUUGACCAUUAGUGUAAAUGGUGUUUGCUCUUGUGCUUGAUGUACUAAUAGAAAGUUAGUGACUUGUUUGCCUAAACCCAAAUCUAGGCCAUGUUCUUAGUUGGUGAACCAUGAUCAAGGUUGAUUUUUCCGUUACCCCUCCUUGACCCAAAUUUAUACAAAUGAAUGCUUAGAUAAUUUCUUCGUUGGACAAAAAGGGUACUUAAGCUUAAAAUAAUAAUCUCGACUCAUAUUUCCAUCUUAGACCCUACCCUUGACAAUUGGUACAAGCUGAUGUACCUUAUCCAGUUUGCCUGUUUUUAAGGAUCGCCAUGUCACUUUAUCAACCUAUCCUAGGAAAGACAUGUCCAACCAUUUUUCUGGAAUUUGAUGUCUUUGGUUUCCCCCAUAUCUAUCGAAGGCAUUCCAACUUAAUCUUAAGAUUGUUUUUCCCUGUAUCUAGUUAGAUACUGAUCCUUGACCUUGUGAUCUCUACGAUGGGCAUAGAAAUAUGCUUGGGGCUGAAGUAACAGUCUCCUGUCGUACUCCUUUCAUCAAAUUUAGGUUAUGGCCAUGCCUUGUUUAUUUCAUCGGGCCAUAAUCUAUUUGGCUCUCUACUUGUAACCAUUCUUACAGGUGGAGUAUCUCUUUGUAUAUUGUCACCCUUGCCUAAUUCAUUGGUGUCACGCGAGAUUUCUUAUUGGUUACGUCUGGUAAUGGUGUUGUGACUAAAACCGACGGUGUCGCGACGAAACCGAGGGCCUCCUGUGGGUAUACACACAAGGUUGUGCUGCUCGGCACGCGCUGGUAUCACCGUUAGUAGUUGUAAUCCAUUAUGAGACUAUAUCAAUGCGUUAUCUUGGCCCAAUCUAUUUUUGCUACGUGAGAUUCAUUAUUGGUGCCAGUUCGGUGAUGGUGUCAUGAUUAAGGACUUAUGGUGCCACAGCGAAACUGAGAGCCCCUUGUGAAUGUACACGCAAGGUUCUGCUGCUUAGCGCAUGCUGGUAUCAAGGUCUCUAGUCAUGAUCCAUUAUGGAACUACACUGAUGUGUUAUCUUCCGUGGACUCCUUCUUUGAAACAAUUUCUAUGUUGUUUGUUAAAUGAUCAAGCAACAUCUGUCAUCUCCGUUGGAUCAAAAGGGCAUACCACUCUCAUGUGUGGUCUUAUUUCUUUUGAUCUUGGUAGUGACUACUCAUACCCGUUCCCUUUACAUCCUUUGUGUAAAGGUCAAGCCUUGGAGCUUUUUAGUGUCGAGAGACAACUGAUUAGCUCUCAAAAUGGAGAUUUGUUUCCCCUGCUGCUGAGAUGCCAGAAUUUGUUCAUUCGCUCUCUUAUUUAAUCCAUGUAUUCCCUAACCAAGUGGAUAAUUCAUCUCGCCUGAAGAAAUGGAUAAACAACCUGACCAAAUAGAUUUCUACCUAAAUGCACGAUCAACUGUUAACCAGAGUGAACUCUCAACCGUUGGCUUACCGAUGGUACUGAGAGGACAUGCCCAAUGUCAAAAAUAGUUCAACAAGUUGGUUUUACUAACUUGUAACUGCCCAAUGAACAAAGGUUGAGUUUAGAGAUCGAUUUGUCGAGUUAUCUAAACUCACUUUGGCACAAACCAUCCUGAGAAAUUACUUACAAAAACCAAGUUAAUUCGACUAGUAACCACCUAAUCAUCGCUCUAGUCGUGCCUCGAUCGUCUCGCGUGUGCUUUUCCAGCAUGAGUGAUCAAGUCGAGCCAUGACUAGUGCUUGAUAAAAUGGAUUGGUUGCAGAGCCAACAUCAACGGAUCUCUUCGUUGAUAUUUUACGAGUCUUUAUCAUUUCUCUUGGACUUGGAUUUUCUGGCUAGCCACGGGUCAACUGUGGUGUUGUUCGACAUCCGCACUUGUCACGUGUGCUAUGAGCUUACCGUAACCACUUGUUGGUAAACCUCUUUCUGGGUGUUUUACCCAAGAUGGUGCAUCUGAUUCUGUUUAGGUAAAAUCGCGCAUUAGUCGCUCUCUCAACAGACUCAGAUAGUACAGUGUCAUCAGAAAAAGCAAACUGCACACAUGAAACCUUAUGUGUUCUUCUGGCAGACAUCAACUGUAUUGUUGGACAUCUCUAAAUUAGCCUAAGGCAAUACAUGAUAUGUCCACUAGAGAAACCCUAUCCUGAGGCACUCGCCUUCGUUCAAGCUUGCCUUAUGAUUACCGCUGAUAUGGACGUGGAUUACAUGCUUCUCUACUCUUAAAAGUCUUUCGUUCCGAAUCUCGGGACGAGAUUCUUUUAAGGGGGGAGGGCUGUAACACCCCAGGUGUUUAUAUUCCGCUCGACAACGAGUACGGAUUUAAGCACGUAAGAUCAGUGAAUAAGACGGACACUAGGGUCUAAUUAUUUUCACCUAUCGCGAUUUUAAUAUCGCAUCUGUUCCGUUUGUCGCGAGUGCGACGUCGUUUUUAUUUUUAUCUGUCCGUGCUCUUCCUAAAUUUCUGUGAUGAUCGGAAUAUAGUUGUUCCGAAAAUCAGUGCGUCCGAUGAGUAUUUAAAAUUCAUCGUCCGCGAAUACGAAUUCAGAAGUCCGAACUCACUCGGAUGGUUUUAUCCCGGAUAAAUUAAUUUGAACUCGACAACUAAAAUUAUUCGGAGUAAAAUAAUCUAAAUCGCGCAUCGCCGAGAGAAAUCAUGCGCAAGACUAAUAAUCAGAAGUAUUUGGUAAUUAGAGCCGGACUCGAAUAAUUUCUAGUCGGUUUAACUUUAACGAAAUUAGUCGUAAAUUAAAAUACCGAAGUCGAAAUCCGUUAAUUCAGUCCAUUUACGUCCUGUCCGAAACAAACCAGACGACUGUAAUAAUUAGUACUAACAGCAAGUAAUUGGUACGUGAUUUAGUUCGCUAAAUCAAAAACCGAGACAGCUCGUCCGAGAAAUUUUAAUUGAACUCCAAUUCACUGGUAAAUUAUCCGUGGCUGUGGAACCAGGUGUUCAGACACGGAUGAAAUUAUUGAUUUCGAAUCAAUAGGAAUACAAUUCAAAAUACUGUUCUAAUUUAUUCCGAUUACGUCUCGCUCCGCUCAGGACUUAGAGAUACUUACGAUUUCUGGAAAUUAAAACAAACAAAAACAGAAAAAAAUCUAAAACUAAAAUAUCCCCACGUCAUCCCCUCCUAAGGCUUUUAGCCUUACCUUAUGUUGAUAUUAUCUUCAGCCGAUACAAGUUCACAGGUCACGUACAUCUCCUAGACGCUAGAAACUUUCCUACGACGAGAUUUUUGCCGCUAGAGCUCAUCAUGUCAGCUUCCUGGGAUAUUCUUAGCGCGUUAUUUUUUCUGGAAAUAUCCUCAGCCGGAUCUUUCAUUCCAUCGUACUUAGCUUCUGUUUUUAUCCCCUGAUAUUUCUCAUCUCGUUCUCUGUUUCUUUGCUGUGGAGCACCAACAGCCUUAUCCCCACCACCGCUCAUCUCCUAUGGCCUAAGCACGCGCGUCUUCCUGCUCUAUCUCCCCUGCGCCCAGCUGAGCUUCUCUCUUAUCCUGUUCCUGGCGUCUCCUUCAAUCGCUCCUGUCCACGCGCGCUCACCCAGCCGUCUUCUUCUAGCUGCUGGACGCGGCUCGCCCCUGGCUCGGACCUUUCUUCCACCGCGCGUCUCCUCUGCUCCUUCGGCCGACCGCGCGUCCUUCUCCCUCUGUGAGCUAGCGCGCCCAGCUCCUAUUCUCCAUGCCGAGUUUCUUCUUCUACAGCUCGCCCCAGCCCGGAGCUCUCCCUGACUGCGCGCUCUGUUUCUCCUUGCCGAGCGCCGCUCGCCCAGCCGCGAACGCCCAUGGCGCCCAGCCCAGUCGAUCUCUCUCCGCGCGCGUUCCUGUUUCUCCGUCGCCUUGUUGCUCGCCCGUCUGCGCGCCCUUCGUCCAUGGUCGCCGUCCGCCGUCGAUCCCCUCACGCAGGCCGCGAGCUGUCUGUUCGCCGUAGUCGAGCCGUUCUCAAUUGCUCGCCGUCGAAGCUCCCCUGUUGGCUGCAUCCUGCUCGCCUUUGCGUCGCGCGCAUAGCUUCUGUUGUUCUCGCGCGCGCGAAGCUCUUUGCUCGUCAACGCUCCAGCUUUAGCUCGUUGCGCGCCCUGCUCCCUGUUGUCGCGAGCUCCAGCCCGGAUUUCGCUUUGUCGCCCAGCUCGGCACUGCUCCUCCCUGUGUACAUCUCACAUGACUGUCUGCUCUAGCUCGCCGUAGUCCCUGCGCGCGUCGAGCUUUCGUGUGGAGCUCUCUGCUCACGCGCAGCUCGCUCUUUCUUUGUUGCCGCGUGCACGAAUUUUAUCUGCUCGUCACAGCAUGUCGAGUUCCCGCACCAUCAUCAUCGCUUCUGUUGCAAGCUCGUUGGCCACAGUUAUCUUGACCGCGUCAGCUCGCGACUGUGGUCGUGUUCAUCGAAUUCGCCAACACUUUGUUGCCGAUUCGACUGCCGUCGUUCCGCGCGUCAGCAAGAAAUCCCAAGAAUCGGGUGAAGACGAAGCUAGCAGCGCGAUAUUCUCCAAGCGCUCGACAAAUUGCCUGGAUCGAAAAAUCACUACCGAUCUCGCGGAUCGUGUCAGCUAUGGAAACGGAACGUUAAUCAAUCGCGCGAUGCGGAAGACAAGCCAAGUCGACCCCAAGCGCGGGCUACUCCGCAGGAUGAUGCUGAUGGACAAGCCUGAAGAUACUCGUCAAGUGGACGUCACCUAACAACACUAACCUAGUGUUACUCAGGCAAGCCCCGGUGCAUGCAACCCCUUUCCUUGUGUUUUUAAAUACUUUUCGCACACUUAAGUCUAGUGAAAUGUGCAUUAAGUUCAUAGGAGUUGCUUGGAACCCUUUGAUGCAUUACUUUCCUUGAUAUCCAUACCUUUAUAGAUACUUCUGUGAAGUAUCAAAAUAUGUUUUACAAAAAUGCUUAGCCUUACUUAGAUCUUGUGGAUAGAGGUUGUCCUCAAUUUAACCCGGGAGGGGAUGGCUUCUACCUGCAAGAAUAUUUUCAUUUGGAGCAAUAGUGGGAUCUUACUGCAAAGCUCCCUGUGAUGCUCUUUCAUCCUAAGGAACAGACACAAUCCUAAGGAUGGGAAUACUGAAAUUGAGACUUGGGUUAGGAACAGGUGAUGUUCUACCCAGGUUGGUUAAGGAUUAACGCGUAUGUAGGCGUGCUGACCGAGGACCCUUUAACUGGUCACAUGCCUCGUCAUGGGUAAGCCUUGCCUCGGGCAGACUAAGGCCGGAAUAAGAUAACACGAAAUGGGCGUGGAGCGGUGGCGAGAGUAGCGUGUACCCUCCGUGGCAAGAGGCUGGACGGUGGUGUAUCUGUGCUCUCGGUUUGCGUGAACCUGAUCCGGUCUUAAGAACCCCGGUGGCGGGUUGACAUAUGCAAGGGUUAAGUGCUACAUAUGUCGUGUGAUUUGUGUUACUUAAUCCCGCGGUUCUGGUUGUUCGUGGUUUAUCCGAUGUCCUUGGGGCAAUCGGACGGAUCCUGUUAAGUUAUCUGGUGCACAUGCAUAGCAGUCUGAGGUCUUUGAGACAAGGACAGGUGCAUGUGGGCCCAAUAACUUGGGAGGUUCUGCCACAGCUGGUAUCGGAGCUGGAUUAAGUAUAUACAGUCACAUACAUAUUUUCAAAACAAAAGUUUUGGUUUUGAAAAACCUAUUUUCAACUAAACACAUUGUUUGGUUUUGAAAAACCGUUUUAAAAAAAAACUAUAAUGCUAGCGACAUCCUCUCUUAAGCCCUAAAUUAAGGAUUAUCAGGUGGCUUAGUUGAAAACCACAACCGGGGGUAUUGCAUACAUGUGUAUUGUUAUUUUUGAGGCCAUUCAGUUUUGAAUGGAUCGACGCUCAAGGUAAGGUGAGAUGUGAGAGCAUGACCGAACAGCCGCCGGUCUAGGGGAAUGCUUAAUUGUGGCGCUUGAUUAUAUACAUGUUCUAUAUAUGUAUAUAUGAAAGCUGCGAUGUGGAGUAUUUACUUUCUGGGAAUUCAGUACCCCAUGGAUGUGUAUGGGUAUACAGACAUGGGAGUACUGAGAAGUGUAAUGUACUUGUAACGACGCACCUACGCUCAGGUAAGAAGGUGAGUUACCAUAAUGAGUUGCCCUAUGGUUAAAAGUGUGGCAACGGCGCCUAUGCGUGGCUCGGCGCUUAAUGAUGAGCUGGCCUCCAUACAACAAUAUAUGGAGUAUAAACUGUGAUAAACUGUCAUGUGUGACUUGCAUCAUUGGGAAUUGGGCUGUAAUGGAUUUUCUGCAGGUACACUAACCUCGAAAACGUAUGUGUAGUUGACGACUAGCAAAAUACCGUGAGAGUCGUAACUAUGCCACCGAGAUAGAACGCUAUUGCCACAUUUGGUUGGCAAAAUCAGUGAGGACGAAUAGGACGAGCAUGCAUCCUGAUUGUUGCAUCAUGUUUGUCGCCUAUACACCCAAAAUGCUUCUCUCAUCUUUAUUCCAGUAACCAUUGAUUGUAAAUAAUAUGGUGUCUUAAAGCUACAUGUUUAGAUAGCUUUCAGGCUAUUUUGAUUUGACCAUUAGUGUAAAUGGUGUUUGCUCUUGUGCUUGAUGUACUAAUAGAAAGUUAGUGACUUGUUUGCCUAAACCCAAAUCUAGGCCAUGUUCUUAGUUGGUGAACCAUGAUCAAGGUUGAUUUUUCCGUUACCCCUCCUUGACCCAAAUUUAUACAAAUGAAUGCUUAGAUAAUUUCUUCGUUGGACAAAAAGGGUACUUAAGCUUAAAAUAAUAAUCUCGACUCAUAUUUCCAUCUUAGACCCUACCCUUGACAAUUGGUACAAGCUGAUGUACCUUAUCCAGUUUGCCUGUUUUUAAGGAUCGCCAUGUCACUUUAUCAACCUAUCCUAGGAAAGACAUGUCCAACCAUUUUUCUGGAAUUUGAUGUCUUUGGUUUCCCCCAUAUCUAUCGAAGGCAUUCCAACUUAAUCUUAAGAUUGUUUUUCCCUGUAUCUAGUUAGAUACUGAUCCUUGACCUUGUGAUCUCUACGAUGGGCAUAGAAAUAUGCUUGGGGCUGAAGUAACAGUCUCCUGUCGUACUCCUUUCAUCAAAUUUAGGUUAUGGCCAUGCCUUGUUUAUUUCAUCGGGCCAUAAUCUAUUUGGCUCUCUACUUGUAACCAUUCUUACAGGUGGAGUAUCUCUUUGUAUAUUGUCACCCUUGCCUAAUUCAUUGGUGUCACGCGAGAUUUCUUAUUGGUUACGUCUGGUAAUGGUGUUGUGACUAAAACCGACGGUGUCGCGACGAAACCGAGGGCCUCCUGUGGGUAUACACACAAGGUUGUGCUGCUCGGCACGCGCUGGUAUCACCGUUAGUAGUUGUAAUCCAUUAUGAGACUAUAUCAAUGCGUUAUCUUGGCCCAAUCUAUUUUUGCUACGUGAGAUUCAUUAUUGGUGCCAGUUCGGUGAUGGUGUCAUGAUUAAGGACUUAUGGUGCCACAGCGAAACUGAGAGCCCCUUGUGAAUGUACACGCAAGGUUCUGCUGCUUAGCGCAUGCUGGUAUCAAGGUCUCUAGUCAUGAUCCAUUAUGGAACUACACUGAUGUGUUAUCUUCCGUGGACUCCUUCUUUGAAACAAUUUCUAUGUUGUUUGUUAAAUGAUCAAGCAACAUCUGUCAUCUCCGUUGGAUCAAAAGGGCAUACCACUCUCAUGUGUGGUCUUAUUUCUUUUGAUCUUGGUAGUGACUACUCAUACCCGUUCCCUUUACAUCCUUUGUGUAAAGGUCAAGCCUUGGAGCUUUUUAGUGUCGAGAGACAACUGAUUAGCUCUCAAAAUGGAGAUUUGUUUCCCCUGCUGCUGAGAUGCCAGAAUUUGUUCAUUCGCUCUCUUAUUUAAUCCAUGUAUUCCCUAACCAAGUGGAUAAUUCAUCUCGCCUGAAGAAAUGGAUAAACAACCUGACCAAAUAGAUUUCUACCUAAAUGCACGAUCAACUGUUAACCAGAGUGAACUCUCAACCGUUGGCUUACCGAUGGUACUGAGAAAUGGAUAAUGAAUCACUAUUUGAGAUAAUUAGAAGUUGGUAGACUUUAAUAAAAGUUAGAGUACUUAAGUUUAUGGACUUAAACACCUAAGUUUAGGAACUUAAAACCAGGUAAUAAUUUAAUCCCACCACUGACUUAGACCUGAUUAGUGGAUAAUGAAUCACUUUGUAUAGUCCUCUACCCCAGACCUAGGGAACACCAGAGAGCCUAUCCUUUUUCUACUACGAACUUGUGAUCUCUUUGCUGCAUAUGUUUGGUAUGUUGCUUUUGUUUGUUAUCUUCCCAAGUGCAUAGUGUGAAUGAUUACUUUACGUAGACAACGAGCAGUCUGUGUUUCCCGAGGAGGUUGCAGAGGAAGUCCCUGAUCAGCAGUUUGGUGAAGGCAAGUGUCCUCUGUCCCAUUAUGUCCUAUUCAUUUAUAACUUACUACCCCGCAUUACUUACUUGAAACCUAAGGAUUGACUAGCUUUACACUUUACUUUAUCCUUGAUGACCUUAUGGGCUGUUAUGGUUAGCACUCUGCUAUUGCUUUAACUUAAUCAAUGAACAUGAUGUGACUAUUUAUGAUACUGUUAUCCCGAUGAUGUUGAUGAUCUUGUGAUACUCUAGGGGGCUCAGGCUGUUUCCUGAGUACCUCUCCGUAAGGACUUGUUCGUUGAGAGACCACCCGGGAUAACAGUGCAACCAUGAGGGUGAAAUGGGAUGCCCUUAGCUGAUUAAUUGGAUGAACUAGAGGUGUAGUUGCUUAGCCGUCGUGCCGUCAAUGGGGUCCAGGCACAGUGCUUGCUCUGCCGAGGCUGAGUGCCGAGGUUCUUUCGUUUUGCUCUUUGUUAGUCACUCUCCUGCGGGGAGGGGUACUGUGUUUAUCAAACUGGAGAAACCUAACGGGCAGCUAUGAUCUCUAGGGAAUCUUUGUAAAAGCUAUGUAGUGAUGCCCUGCCGGACCACCUAGGUAGUGGUCAAUGGGGAUUAGCUCUCCCCGGGUAGAAAGGGAAUCAUGACUCAUGGGUAAAGUGUGCAACCUCUGCAGAGGGUAGUGAAACUGGUAUAUCAGCCGUGCUCACGGUUAAGAGCAGCCUUGGGAUCCUCUUUGAUUAGAGAUACAGAUGGUUCGAUAUACAAUGGUUCUAUUUAUGAUUUUGGUUCGAUGGUGAUAAUGAUGUUCCUCGAUGAGGAAAUGAUUCACGGGUUGGUUAUUGCUAAAACUUGGCUUCACUAAUAAUAAAUACCUGACCAACUAAAAGCAACUGCUUGAGCUUAACCCCACAUAAAGCUAGUCCACUUCAGCCAAACGGGACAUUUGCUGAGUACGUUGAUGUGUACUCAUCCUUGCUUUACCACAAAACACCAGGUUGCCCGCACUGUAACCACUGCUCAGGAGAAGGCGAAGUCGUGGAAGGAGACUUCCAGGAGUUCCAAGACUACGACGAGUUUUAGAUGUGGGUUGGCGGAAACCCCCAGUCAGCUGCCUGUGGAGGCCUUAUCUUUACUGCGUUUCGCUAGUACUUUGAUUUACCUGUUAAGACAAUGACUAUGUGGAUGUCUAUGACUCUGUGAUGUAAUAAGUUAAUACUCUUUUAUG
Molecule: long non-coding RNA, 12936 nt
Organism: Zea mays
Lineage: Eukaryota; Viridiplantae; Streptophyta; Magnoliopsida; Poales; Poaceae
Exons: 3
Source: RefSeq, a predicted model, not a curated record